UCCCUGAUGGAGAGAGAAGGCCCAGACAGAUGGAAAGGAACAAGUGGGACAAGUAUAGAAACAGACAUUGAGGGAUGGAUUGAUAUACUGGGAGGUCAGAAUUGAAUGGAUAAAGAGAGGUAGGAAGAGGAGAGGAGCUUAAGAAAAUGAGAGAGUGAGAGGAUGAAGAUGAGUGACCGAAUAUCAGACACAAAAGAAUGAACGGAGAGACCCAAACUCUGAUACAUGAGUGACUGUCAAAUCUUGUUGAGAAAGAAUGCAUGAAUGACAUGGGAUAUUCAGUGUGAGAUGGCUGAACUGAGGAGCACAGGGAAGAGAAGCAAAACUGAGGAGAUAAAUGCAAAGAAAAACAGUUAUUCAGAUUGCCCGAGAGAGGGAGAAAGGAAUCCAUGUUAAGGCGUAGACUGGGGUAAUGGAUGAAAUAGAUACUGGAGUGCUGUGAAAAGAAUGGGUAAAGAGGUAUAAGGAGCUAAGAAACCUGAAUGUCUAGAACUCAGAGAAAGAAAGCAAAAGAGAUGUGGACACUGAGAGAGAUCCAACUAGAGAUAGUGAGAAAUAGGAGAUGGAUGGAGAAAGACAUCAAAAGCAUGAGAAAUGUAUGAAAAGGGAGAGCAAGAGAGUGAAUGAUCUGUGGAAAUAGCCCUGUUACGCACAGAAAAGAUAUAUGGCUGGAAAUAAGUGUGCUUUGCUGUGUGUGUGUGGGUGGGUGGGUAUGUGCGUGUGUGUGGGUAUGUGCGUGUGUGUGUGUGGAAGCAGAAGCUAUAGCCAUGAAGGAUGAAUAGCUGAAAAACAGCAAAACCAUGAAUGGAUGAAAGGUGAGAGUGUAAUAUGCUAUGCUGCUGAAGAGCCACUGGAGAACAUGCAAGUAAAUGGUGAAGUGAUGACUGAGUUAAGGAUGGGAGAAGUGAUGUACUGAAUGAGCGUGAUGUGGAGAGACAAAGCUGUCCCCUGAGGGUUGCGCAACUAAAUCUAGAGGGCUCGAUUCUGACCAAUGUAUGAAAGGAGAAACUCCAGGUUUGUGUGGUCAAAGGAUCAUUGGGCUACAGCAGGGGCAGAGAAGAGUUUAGGUCUAGUACUUAUAGAGUAUGAAUGAAUACAGAAGAGGCCGGGACACUGUGAAAACAAAAAAGUGAAAAAAUGUUGGGAUGAAUGGAUAUACUGGGAUGUCAGAAUUGAAUGUAUGGAGAAGUUGAGAGAGGAGAGUGGAGUGAGCAAAUGAGAGUGAGAAGAUGAGGAUGGGUGACUGAAUGGCAGAACCAAAAAUGAAUAGAGAGACUCAAACUCUGAUACAUGAAUGACUGUUAAAUUCAGAAGGAAUCCAUGAAUGGCACGAAGGAUGCAGUGUGAGAUGGCUGAAUUGAGAAGCAUAGGGAAGAGAAGCAAAACUGAGGAGACACAUGCAAAGAGAAAGAGCCCUAGUGACAGAGAGAGGGAGAAAGGAAUCUCAUGUUGAGGCCUAAACUGUGGGAAAUGCAUGAAUUUAGACACUUGAAUGAUUUGAAAGGAAUGAAUAAAGAGAUAUAAGGAGCUGGGAACUAUGAAUGUCUAGAACUCAGAGAUAAAAAAAAAUAAAAGAGAUCUGGACACUGAGAGAAAACCAAUUAAAGAUAGUGAGAAAUAAGAGAUGAAUGGAGAGAGACACCAAAAGCAUGAGUAAUAUAUGGAAAGAGAGAGCAAGAGACUGAAUAAUGUUCAGACAAAGAGAGCAAGAGAAUGCGUAAUCAAUUGAAAGAGACCUGAACAUAAAAUAAGAGAUUCUCAGAUGAAACUAAAUGUGCUUUGCAGUGUGUGUGUGUGUUUGUAAGCAGAAGCCUAAACCCCUGAAGGAUGAAUACCUGAAAAACAGUGAAACCAUGAAAGGAUGAAAGUUGACAGGGUGAGAGUAUACUAUGCUGGUAAAGAGCCAUUGGAGAACUUGUAAGAAAAUGGUCAAGAGAGAAUGUGAUUACUGGCUGUUUAAAAAAUCUACCCAAAGGAGUAAAGGAUGAGAGAAGUAAUAAAAUGAAUAGGUGUGGUGUAGAGAAUCUGUCCCCUCGGGACUGAGCAGCUAAAUCUAGUGAGCUUGCUUGUGAGUGAUAUAUGAAAGGAGAAACUUGAUGUUCGUGUUCUCAAUGGGUGAUGGAGCUACAGGGGGGCAGAGAAGACCUUAGGUGUAGUACUAAGAGAGCAUGAAUGAAUACAGAAGAGGCCGGGCCACUGUGAAAAAUAGAGAAAAUGUGAGAUUUCUGGUUUGAAAGGUUAAGAGAAUGAGACAUGUGAGGAUGGAAAUGCUAUGGAGUACAAUAUGCCUGUGUCCACAUUCCUGCCAAGUCAAUAAAGUGUGAAAGCAGAAUGGGAAGCAUCAGCAUGGGCUGCAGAUGAAAAAGAAAAUGCCAAGAUUUCAGAGGACAAGGAGAUAGAGUGGCUCCAGGGAAUCACUGAGGUAGACACAGGUACUUGUUGAUAGGGCCUAGUGAGAUGUGGCUGUUAAAAAUACCACCUGAGUGUCAAACAUUUGUGAGAAAUAAGAUGUUGAAUGGGACUUGUAUGUGUGAAGCUAUAGUUGGUUAUAUGGACAAGAUGGAAGCUGGGUGGCUAACAAGAAAGACAGGAGAGUGGACUGACAAAUUUAAAUGGCAUGAAGGUGAGAAUAUGAGACCCAGAAACCCCAAAGAGGAGUGAAAGGAGAGACGUAACCUAUAAUACUUGAGGGGACAGUCAAGUUCCAAUAAGAAAGAAGGAUGAAUGGAGCAAGGAAUGCAAUGUGAGAUGACUGAAUGGAGAGCAGCAGAGAAAGAAGAAUGGUUGGUGAGAUUAAAUGAAAGAAAAACAUUGGGAGAAGAACAGUAAGAGAAGGGGAAAUUAAUGUGAAUAAAAGGCAACAGAGUGAAAGGUAUAGAAAAGGAGAUAUACCUGCAGGGGAGCCCAAUGGAUGCAUAGGCUAAAGAAGGUAGAUUGUGCUGAUAUUAAGGUAGGAAAAGGCAAGAUACUAUCUGAAGAGGACCCAAGACUGAAAUAGUUGGAAGAAUAGGGAAAGAGGGAAACAAUGGAUGGAGAGAGGGGGAAGUGAGAGACCUUUGUAGAUAUGGAGAUGGAUUGAAAGAGUUGUUCCUGAAGCUCAUGAGACAGGAAGGUGGGCUGGAAAGCCCAAGGAUUAAAUAGGAAAGGUGGAGAAAAGAAUGCUAGACAAAUCCAUGAGAAGGUCAAUAGGCUGAAAAUUUAAUAAACUACAUGAGGAAGGACAGCUCAGAGAGAAGAAGCUGAAUCAAGAGCAAUAUGAGGGAUGAUUGUGUCCUACACAAAAUUAGAGAGAAAGAAGGCCCAGACUCAUGGAAGGGAACAAAUAUGCAUACAGAUAUUGAGGGAUGAAUGGAUAUCCUGGAGUGUCAAAAGUAAGUGGAUGCAGAAAAGUUGGGAGAGGAGAGUGGAGUGAGAACAUGAGAGAGUGAGAGGAUGAGGAUGAGUGACUGAAUGGCAGAAUAAAUAAAAUGAAUGGAGAGACCCAAACUCUGAUACAUGAGUGACUGUCAAAUCUCGUUGAGAAGGAACGCAUGAAUGUCAAGAAGUUUGUGGUGUGAGAUGGCUGAACUGAGGAGCACAAGGAGGAAAAGCAAAACUGAGGAGACAAAUCCAAAGAGAAAUAAUUAGCCACAGUGACAGAGAGAGGGAGAAAGGAAUGAAUCCAUGUUGAGAACUAGACUGUGGGAAAUAGAUGAAUUUAGACACUUGAGGGAGGGAAAGGAAUGGGGAAAGAGGUAUAAGGAGCUGAGAACCCAGAGACAGGAAAUAAAGGAAAGAUGAGCCUAGACAGUGAGAAAGGUCUGUAUGGAGACAGUGAGAAAUAAGGGAUAGAUGGAGAGAGACACCAGAAGUAUGAGCAAUGUAUGGGACGAGAGACCAAGAGAGUGUGUCAUGUAUUGAAUGAGACCCGUAUGCAAGAAAGAGAUACUUAGUUGGGAAAAAAUUGUACUUUGCUGUGUGUGUGAAAGCAGAAGCCUAAGCAUGAAGCAUGAAUAGCUGAAAAAUAUCAAAACUGUGAAAAGAUGAAAGGUGAGAGAGUGAGAAUCCAAUAUGCUAUGCUGCAAAGAGCCAUUGGAAGACAUGCAAGAAAAUGGUGAAGCGUGAAAGUGAUGACCAGCUGUUUAGAAAAUUUACCUGAAGGAGUGAAGGAUGAGAGCAAUGAUGUAUCGAAUGAGUGUGGUGUGGAGAAAUAAAGCUUUCCCCAGAGGCUGUGUGGCUAAAUCUAGCGAGCUGGAUUUGUGACCAAUGUAUGAAAGGAGAAACUUCAGGUUUGUGUUGUCAAGGGAUCAUUGAGCUAUAGGGAGGCAGACAAGAGUAUAGGGCUAGUAGCAAUAGAGCAUGAAUGAAUACAGAAGAGGCCGGGCCACUGUGGAAAAAAAAAGUGAGACAAUGUGAGAUUCCUGAUACGAAAGGUCAAGAAUUUGAGAGGUGUGAAGGUGGAAAUGCUCUGGAGUGAGAAGUGCCUGUGUAAAGAUAUCUGUCAAUACACCAAAGUGAGAAAACAGAAUGGGAAACAAUCAAGGAUGGACUGCUGAGCAAAGGUAGAAAGCUAAGAUUUCAGAAGAUAAGGAGAUAGAGUCUCUCCAGGGAAUCACUGAGGUAGAGGCAGGUACAUGUGGAUAGGGACUAGUGAGAUGUGGCUGCUACAAAUACCAUCUGAGUGUCAGACAUUUGUGUGAAAUGAAUUCUUGAAUGGGAUUUGAAUGUGUAGAGCAAGGGCAGCUCUGAGUGAUGGAUAAUUGGCCAUAUGCAGACUAUGAGAGAUGAGCAGCUGAAGAGAAAGAAAGAGCAGAGUGGAUUGAGAAACGCUGAGAGAGUGAAGCUAAGAAUGUGAGACACAGAGACCACAAAGAGAAGAGUGAAAGGAGAGACCCAACCUCUGAUACUUGAAGGGACAGUCAAAUUCCAGUAGGGGAAAAGGGUUAAUGGUAAGAGAAGGCAAUGUGAGAUGGCUGAAUUAGGGAGCAGGAAAGGAAGGAAGAAUGAUUGAUGAGAUUUAAUGUAGGAGAAAUGUUUGGAAACAAACACUGAAAAAAGGGGAAAUAAUUGGGAAAACACGAUAACAGAUUCAUAGGUAUAGAAAAGGAGAUAUACCUGCAGAAGAGCCCAAUGGAUAUUGAGUAAAGGAGAUAGAUUGUGGUGAUAUACAGGUAAUAAAAAUCAAGAUAUUAUUAGAAGAGAACCCAUGAGUUAAAUGAAUGGAGAAAGAGAGAAAGUUAACACUGGAUAGCAAGUGAGUAAGAGAUAUCUAGAAAUGGAGACAUAUCAAAUGUAAGAUUUGUAGCUGCAAAUGGUAAGAUAAUGAGGUGAGUUCAAAAGACAAAGAAAGAAUGUGAGAAAGGUGGAGAAAACAGAGGUUAUAAGGCUUAGGGAGAAGAAAUAUCAAGAGAUUUAUGAGAGAUGACUGAGUUCUAGGAAAAAUCCCUGAGGGAGAGAAAAGGCCCAGACAGAUGAAGGGAACAAGUGGGACAUGUAUGUGUACAGAUAUUGAGAGAUGACUAGAUGGCCUGGGGUGUCAAUAUUGAAUGGAUGAAGAGAAGUUGGGAGAGGAGAAUGGAGUGAGAAAAUGAGAAAGUGAGAGGAUGAGGAUGGGUGCCUGAAUGGCAGAAUGAAAGAAUGAAUGGAGAGACCCAAACUCUGAUAUAUGAGUGACUGUCAAGUCUCAAUGAGAAGGAAUGCAUGAUUGGCAAGAAGUAUGUGGUGAGAUGGCUGAACUGAGGAGCACACGGAGGAAAAGCAAAACUGAGGAGCCACAUGCAAAGGGAAAUAAUUACUAGAGUACCUGCGAGAUGGAGAAAGGAAUACAUGUUGAUUACUAGACUGUAGGAAAUGGAUGUAUUUAGACACUUGAAUGAUAUGGAAUGAAAGAGGUAAAAGGAGCUGAGAAACCUGAAUGUCUAAAAGUCAAAGAGAAAAGAAAGGCAAGAGAGACUUACAUAGUAAGAGGGAUCUGACUGGAGAGAGUGAGAAAUAAGAGAUAGAUGGAGGGAGACACCAAAAGAAGGAGCCAUGAAUAGAAAGAGAGAGCAAGAGAUUGAAUAAUGUAUAGAUGGAGAGAGCAAGAGAGCGUGUAAUGGAGUGAGAGAGACCUGUACUCAAGUAAGAGAUUCUAGGAUGGAAAUAACUGCUUUGUAGUAUGUGUGUGAAAGCAGAAGCUUAAGCCAUGCAGGAUGAAUAGCUGACAAACAACAAAACCAUGAAAGGAUGAAAGAUGAGAGAAUGAGUGUCAAAUAUGCUUCGCUGCAAAAGAGCCAUUGGAGAAUGUUCAAGUAAAUGGUGCAAAGUUAAAGUGAUGAUUGGCUGCUUGCAAAAUCUACCUGAAGGAGUGAAGGAUGAGAGAAGUGAUGGGCUGAAUGAGUGUGGUGUGGAGAAACAAGGCUGCUCCCUGCGGGCUAUGCAGCUAAAUCUAGGGAGCUCAAUUAUAUGUAUGUAUGUAUGAAUGAAAGGAGAAAUUCCAGCUUGGUGUGGUUAAGGCAUCAUUGAGCUAUAAGGGACAGAGAAGAGUUUAGGUCUAGUCGUAAUAGAGCAUGAAUGAAUACCGAAGAGGACGGGCCACUGUGAAAAAUUAGAGUGAGAAAAUGUAAUAUUGCUGGUAUGAAAGGGUAAGAAUGUGAGAUGUGUGAAGGUGGAAAUGCUCUGGAGUGAGAGGUGCCUGGGUAAAGGUAACUGUCAAAACACUGAAGUGAGAAAACAGAAUGGGAAAUAAUCAAGGACAGACUGCUGAGCAAAGGGAGAAAGCCAAGAUUUUAGAAGCAAGAAGAUAAAGUGGUUCUAGGGAACUAACAAGGUAAACACAAGGACAUAUUGAUAAAGACUAGUGAGAUGUGGCUGGUACAAAUAUCACUGGGGAGUCAGACACCUUUGUGAAAUAAGAUGUUGAUUGGGACUUGAAUGUGUAGAGCAAGGCCAACUCUGAGUGUUGGCUAAUUGGCCAUAUGCAGAAGAUGAGAGAUGAACAGCUAAAGAGAACGAGAGGGGAAAGUAGAGUAAGAAAUCCAGAUGGGAUGAAGGUGAGAAUGUAAGACACAGAGGCCAAAAGAAAAGUGUGAGAAGAGACCCAACUUCUGAUACUUGAGGGGACAGUCAAAUUCCAAUAAGAAAAAUGCUGAAUGGAAAGAGAAGGCAAUGUGAGAUGACUGAAUGGGGGAGCAGCAAAGAAAAGAAUAAUAAUCAGUGAUACUGAAUGAAAGAGAAACAUGGGGACAAGAACACAGAGAAGGGGAAUUGAAUGGGAAGAGAAGUUGAUAGUGUGAAAGGUGUAGAAAAGGAGAUAUACUUGCAAGGGAGCCCAAUGGAUACUUAAGAGUAUAGAAGGUAGAUCGUGGUGAUAUACAGGUAGUAAAAGUCAAGACACUAUUAGAAGAGAACCCAAGAGUUAAAUGAAUGGAGAAAGAGGGAAAGUUAACACUGGAUAGCAAGUGAGUAAGAGAUAUCUAGAAAUGGAGAUGUAUUGAAUGUAAGAUUUGUAGCUGCAGAUCGUGAGACAAUGAGGUGAGUAGGAAAGCCCAAGAAAUCAAGUGGGGAAGGUGGAGAAAAUACAGAUUACAGGGACUGUGAAAAGGUCUAGAUGCUGAACAUUCAACAAUCAAACCUAAGAAGGAAAGGCUCAGGGAUAGGAAGCUGAAUGAAGAGCAGUAUGAAAGAUGACUGUGUCCUAGGAAAAGUCCCUGAGGGAGAGAGAAGGCCCAGACAGAUGAAGGAACAAGUGGGACAUGUAUGUGUACAGAUAUUGAGAGAUAAAUGGACAUUUUGGGGUGUCGACAUUGAAUGGAUGAAGAAAAUUUGGGAGAGGAGAGUGGAGUGAGAAAAUGAGAGUCAGAGGAUAAGUAUGUGUGGACUUAAGGGCAGAAUGAAAGAAUGAAUGGAGAGACCCAAACUCUGAUAAAUGAAUGACUGUGAAAUCUCAAUGAGAAGGAAUGCAUGAAUGUUGAGAAGGAUGCAGUGUUGAACUGAGGAGCUGAAAAGAGCAGCCACAUCCAAAGAGAAAGAGUUUUAGGGUUCUUGAGAGAAGUAGAAAGGAACAUGUGUUGAGACCUAGACUGUGGAAAAUGGAAUUUAGACACUUGAGUUAUGUGAAAUGAAUGGGGAAAGAGGUAUAAGGAACUGAGAAACCUAAAUACCUAAAAGUCAGAGGCAGAAAAUAAAGGGAACAAAGACCUAGAUCUUGCAGAGCUUCCAAGUGGAGAAAGUGAGAAUUAAGAGAUGGAUGGAGAGAGAAACCAAAAGAGUGGGCAGUGUGUGGAAAGAGAUUGAAUAAUGUAUUAAUGGAGAGAGAAAGAGAGUAAGUAAUGGAUUGAAAGAUCUGUAUGCAAGUAAGAAAUUCUGGUUGGAAAUACCUAUACAUUUCAGUGUGUGUGUGAAAGCAGAAGCCUAAAGCAUGUAGGAUGAAUAGCUGACAAACAACAAAAAGGAUGAAUGAUGAGAGGGUGAGAGUCAAAAAUGUUAUGCUUUAAAAGAACCAUUGGAGAACAUGCAAGUAAAUGGUGUAGAGUGAAAGUGAUGAUUGGGUGUUUACAAAAUCUACCUGAAGGAGCGAAGGAUAAGAGAAGUGAUGUACGGAAUGAGCAUGGUGUGGAGAGAAAAAAAGCUUUCCCCUGGGGGCUGCAUGGCUAAAUCUAGCAAGCUUGACUGUGACCAGUGUAUGAAAGGAGAAACUUCAGGUUUGUGUGGUCAAGGGAUCAUUCGACUACAGCGGGGGUAGAGAAAAGUUUAGGUCUAGUACUAAUAGAGCAUGAAUAAAUACAGAAGAGGCUGGGUCACUGUGAAAAACAAAGAGUGAGAAAAUGUCAGAUUGCUGGUAAGAAAGGUCAAACGUGUGAGAUGUGUGAAGGUGGAAAUGCUCUGGAGUUAGAGCUGCCUGGGUAAAGAUAUCUGUCAAUACACCAAAAUGAGAAAGCAGAAUGGGAAACAAUCAAGGAUGGGCUGCUGAGCAAAGGGAGAAAGCCAAGAUUUUAGAAGACAAGGAGAUAGAGGGGCUCUAGAGAACCACUGAGGUAGAAACAGGUACAUGUGGAUAGGGACUAGUGAGAUCUGGCUGCUACAAAUAUCACUGGAGUAUCAGAAACUUGUGUUCAAUAAGAUGUUGGGCCUUUGUAUGGGUAGAGCAAGGUUAACUGUGUGUGAUAGAUAACUGGCUAUAUACAGAAGAUGAGAGGUGAGUUGCUAAAGAGAAAGAGAGAGGAGAAUAGACUGAGAAAUCCAGAUGGGGCAAAGGUGAGAAUGUGAGACCCAGAGACCACAAAGAGAGGAGUGAAAGAAGAGACCCAACCUCUGAUACUUGAGGGGACAGUCAAAUUCCAAUAAGAAAAAGAGUGAGUGAAAAGAGAAGGCAAUGUGAGGUGAUUGAAUGGGAGAGCAUGAAAGAAAGGAACAAUGACUGAUGAGAAUGAUUGAAUGAGAAACAUUGGGAGAACACAGAGAAGGAGAAAUGAAUGGGAAGACAAAUCAAUAGAGUGAAAGGUUUAGAAAAAGAUACGUCAGCAGGGGAACAUAGUGGAUCUGAAGACUGAACCAGGUAGAUUUUGUUGUUAUUCAGCUAGAGAAAUGCAAGCUACUAGUAGAAGAGGAUCCAAGACUGAAAGAGUUGGAUAAAUGGGGAAAGAGGAAAAGGGAGUCAGAGUUACAUGAAAAUGGAGAUGUACUGAGAGUUUUGUAGGUUAUGAUUGUGAGACAGAAAGGGGGGCUGGAAAGCCUAUGAAAUAAAGUAUGGAAGGUGGAGAAAAGAGAGAUAGCCAAGGUUGCGAAAAGAUCAGAAUGUCAUAAAAAAAGGAGCAGGGAAAGCUCAGGGAGAAGGAGCUGAAGCAAAAGCCAUAUGAGAAAUGAUUGUAUCCUAGGGAAAAAGAGAGGAGGGAGGGAGAGGGAGAGAGAGAGAGAGAGAGAGAGAGAGAGAGAGAGAGAGAGAGAGAGAAAGAAAGCCUUGACUGAUAGAAGGGAACAAGUGGGACAUGUAUGCAUACAGAUAUUGAGGGAGGAAUGGAUAUCCUGGGGUGUUGAAAUUCAAUGGAUGAAGAGAAAUUAGGAGAGGAGAGUGGAGUGAGAACAUGAGAGAGUGAGAAGAAGAAGAUGGGUGACUGAAUGGUAGGACCAAAGAAUGAAUGGAGAGACCCAAACUCUGAUAAAUGAAUCUGUCAAAUCUCAAUGAGAAAGAAUGCAUGAAUAGCAGGAAGGAUGCAGUGUGAGAUGCUUGAAGUAAGGAGCACAAGGACAAGAAAUAAAACUGAGGAACCAAAUGCAAGGAGAAAUAAUUACUAGGGUGCCUGAGACAGAGAGAAAGGAAUACGUGAUGAGAUCUAGACUAUGGAAUUUAGACUCUUCAGACAGAAAAGAAAGGACAGAGAUCAAGACAGUGAUAGAGAGGGGUCUGAAUGGAAACAGUGAGAAAUGAGAGAUGGAUGGAUGGAGACACAAAAAGAAUCUGCACUGUAUUAAAAGAGAGCAAAGAGUGAGUGAUGUACUGAAAGAGAGCCAUAUAUAAGAGACACUUAUUUGGAAAUACCUAUUUUGCACUGAGUGUGUGUGAAAGCAGAAGCCAUAGUAAUGAAGGCUGGAUUCCUGAAAAAAAUAUCUAAACCUUGAAAGGAGGAGAGGUUGAGGUGGCGACAGUCAAGUAUUCUAUGCUGCUAAAGAGCCACUAGAGAACAUGCAAGAAAAUAGUAUAGAGUGAAAGUGAUGAUUGCCUGUUUGCAAAAUCUACCUGAAGGAGUGAAGGAUGAGAGAAGUGAUGGACUGAAUGGUCAUGAUGUGGAGAAACAACACUGCUCCCUGUGGGCUAUGCGGCUAAAUCUAGUGAGCUGGAGUGUGACUGAUGUAUGAAAGGAGAAACUCCAGGUUUGUGUGGUCAAGGGAUCAUCCAGCUGCAGAAGGGCAGACAGUAGUUUAGGUCUAGUAUUAAUACAGCAUGAAUGAAUACAGAAGAGGCCAGGCCACUGUGAAAAAAAUUAAAUGUGUGAGAAAAUGUGAGAUUGUUGGUAUAAAAGGUCAAGCAAGUGAGAAAUGUGAGGAUGGAAAUGCUCUGGAGUGAGAGAUGCCUGGGCAGAGAUUUCUGUCAAUUUAACAAAGUCAGAAGGCAACAUGGAAAGUAAUAAAGGAUGAGCUGCUAAGCAAAGGGCUAAAGCCAAGAUUUCAGAAGACAAGGACAUAGAGUGACUCUAGGGAACCACUGAGGUAGAGACAGGUGUAUGUAGAGACUAGUGAGGGACUAGUGAGAUCUGGCUGCUAGAAAUAACACUAGAGAGUCAGAAACUAGUGUUCAAAAUAAGAUGUUGGCCUUUGUAUGUGUAGAGCAAAGUUAACUGUGUGUGAUGGGUAACUGGCUAUAUACAGAUGAGAGAUGAGUGGCUAAAGAGAAAGAGAGAGAAUGGACUGAGAAAUGCAGAUGGGGCGAAAGUGAGAAUGUGAGACCCAAAGACCACAAAGAGAGGAGUGAAAGGAGAGACCCAACCUCUGAUACUUGUGGGGACAGUCAAAUUCCAAUAAGAAAAAGGAUGAGUGGAAAGAGAAGGUAACGUGAGGUGACUGAAUGGGGGAGCAGCAAAGAAAGGAAGUAUGCUUAGUGAGACUGGAUGAAAGAGAAACAUUUGGAGAAGAACACAGAAAAGGGGAAAUAAUUGACAAGACAAGUUAACAGAGUCAAAAGUAUAGAAAAGGAGAUAUUUCUGCACAGGAGCCCAAUGAAUACUUAGAAUAAAAGAGAUAGAUGAUUCUGAUAUUCAGAAAGGAAAAGGCAAGAUAGUAGGAAAAGAGGAGCCAGAACUGAAAGAAUACAAUGAACGCAGAAAGAGGGAAAGAAAACACUAGAUGGACAGAGCUGGAAAGUGAGCGAGAGAGAGAUUAUAAUAGAGAUGUACUCAAUGAAAGAUUUGUUGUUGCAGAUCAUGACACAGUUAAGUGGUUUGGAAAGCCAAAGAAGUAAAGUAGAGAAUGUGGAAAAAUAGAGAUAGCUGAGCAUGUGAGAAGAUGAAAAUAGUGAAGAUUCAAUACUAGCAAGGAUAAGAUCAGGGAGAGGAAGCUGAAUCAAUAGCAGUAUGAGACAGGACUGUGUCCUAGGGAAAAUCCCUGAGGGAGAGAGGAGGUCUAGACAGAUUAAGGGAACAAGUGGGACAAGUACACAUAAAGAAAUUGAGGGAUGAAUGGAUAUACUGUGAGGAGAGAAUUGAAUGGAUGAAGAGAAUUAGGAAAAGGAGAGGAGAGUAAGAAAAGGAGAGAGAAAAUAAGAGUCAGAGGAUGAAGAUGGGUGACCAAAUGGCAGACAGAAAAGAAUGAAUGGAGAGACCCAAACUCUGAUACAUGAGUGACUGUCAAAUCUUGUUGAGAAGGAACGUAUGAAUGGCAAGAAAUUUGUGGUGAGAGAUGGCUGAAUGGAGGAGCACAGGGAGGAGAAGCAAAACUGAGGAGACGCAUGCAAAGAGUAAUAGUUAGACACAGUGACUGAGAGAGGGAGAAAGGAAUCCAUGUUGAGACCUAGACUGGGGGAAAUGGAUGAAAUAGACACUCAAGUGAUGUGAACGGAAUCAAUAAAGAGGUAUAAGCAGCUGAGAAACUAGAAUGUCUAGAACUCAGAGACAAAAAACAAAGGCAUGAGAGACCUAGACAGUGAGAGAGAUCCAAAUGGAGAGAGACACCAAAAGAGUGAGCACUAUGUGGAAAGAGACAGCAAGAGAGUGUGUGAUAUAUGGAAAUAACCCUGUACGCACAAAAGAAAUAUUUGACUGGUAAUAAGUAUGCUUUGCAGUGUGCGUGUGGAAGCAGAAGCCAUAGCUAUGAAGGAUGAAUAACUGAAAAACAGGAAAACAAUGAAAGGAUGAAAGGUGAGAGGAUGAGAGUCAAGUUUACCAUGCUGCUAAAAAGCCAUUGAAGAACUUACAAGAAAAUGGUGAAGAGUAAAAGUUAUGAUUGGCUGUUUGCAAACUCUACCUGAAAGAGUGAAGGAUGAGAGAAGUGAUGGACUAAAUGGGCAUGAUGUGGAGAAACAACACUGCUCCCUGUGUGCUAUGCGGCUAAAUCUAGUGAGCCUGAUUCUGACUGAUGUAUGCAAGGAGAAACUUCAUGUUUGUGUGGUCAAGGGAGCAUCAAGCUGUAGAGGGGCAGAGAAGAGUUUAGGUCUAGUACUAAUAGAGCAUGAAAGAAUACAGAAGAGGCUGGGCCACUGUGAAAACAAAAAGAGUAAAAAAUUUGGGGAUGAAUGGAUAUACUGGGAGGUCAGAAUUGAAUGGAUAGAGAAGUUGGGAGAGGAGAGUGCAGUGAGCAAGUGAGAGUGAGGGAAUGAGGAUGGGUGACUGAAUGGCAGUACAAAGAAUGAUUGGAGAGACCCAAACUCUGAUACAUGAGUGACUGUCAAAUCUUGUGAGAAAGAACACAUGAAUGGCAUAGUGCAUGCAGUGUGAUAUGGCUGAAUUGAGGAGCACUGGGAGGAGAAGUAAAACUAAGGAGCCACAUGCAAAGAGAAAUAGCCACAGUGACUGAGAAAGGGAGACAGGAAUCUAUGUUGAUGCCUAGACUAUGGGAAAUGGAUGAAUUUAGACACUUGAGAGAUAUGCAAGGAAUAGGAAAAGAGAUAUAAAGAACUGUGAACCAUGAAUGUUUAAAACUCAGAAAGGAAAAAGGAAGAUGAACCUAGAAAUUUAGAGGGGGUCUGAAUGGAGACAGUGAGAAAUAAGAAAUGGAUAGAGAGAGACACACACAAAAAGAAUGAGCAGUAUUUUUGGAAAGAGAGAGCAAGAGAGUGUAUAAUGUAUUGAAAGAGACUUGUACGCAAGCAAGAGAUACUUGGGUGGAAAUAUCUGUACGUGGCAGUGUGUGUGUGAAAGCAGGAACCAAAGCCAUGAAGGAUGAUUAGCUGCAAAAUUUCAAAACCAUGAAAGGAUGAAAGGUGAGAGGGUGAUAGACAAGCUUACCUCACUGCUAAAGAGCCAUUGGAGAACAUGUACGUAUAUGGUGAAGAGUGGAAGUGAUAAUUGGCUAUUUGCAAAAUCUAAAAGAAGGAGUGAAGGAUGAGAGAAGUGAUGUACUGAAUGAAUAUAGUGUGGAGGGAUAAAGCUGUCCCCUGGAGGCUGUGUGGCUAAAUCUAGCACGCUCAGUUGUGUCCAAUGUAUGAAAGGAGAAACUUCAUGUUUGUGUGGUCAAGGAAUCAUCAAGCUGUAGAGGGGCAGAAAAGAGUUUAGGUCUAGUACUAAUAGAGUAUGAAUGGAUACAGAAGAGGCCGGGCCAUUGUGAAAAAAAAACGAGUGAAAAAAUAAGAGAGUGAAAUGAUGAGAUUGGGUGACUGAAUGGCAGAAUAAAAGAAUGAAUGGAGAGACCCAAACUCUGAUGCAUGAGUGACUAUCAAAUCUCAAUUAGAAGGAAUGGCAAGGAGUAUGUGUUGUGAGAUGAACGUUUUUUACAUUGUGAAAACAAGAAAAUGAGUGAGAAAAUGUGAGUCUGUUGGUAUGAAAGUUCAAGACAAUGAGAGUUGAGUGGCUAAAGAGAAAGACAGAGAAAAGUGGAGUGAGAAAUCCCGAUGGGGUGAAUGUGAGAAUGUGACACACAGAGACCAGAAAGACAGCAGUGAAAGGAGACCCAACCUCUGAUACUUGAAGGAAUAGUCAAAUUUCAAUAAGAAAAAGGAGUGAAUGGUAAGAGGCAUGUAAGGAGAAAUGACUGAAUUUGAAAGCACAAAAGAAAGGAAGAACGACUGGUGAGAUUGAAUAAAAGAGAAAUAUUUGGAGAGGGACAGUGAGGGAAGGAGAAAUGAAUGGAAAGGCAAGUCAACUGAGUGAAAGGUUUAGAAAAAGAGAUAUAUCAGCAGGGGAACAUAAUGGAUCUGAAGACAAAAAGAGGUAGAUGGUGUUGAUAUUCAGGUAGGAAAAGGCAAGCUAUUAGUAGAAGAGGACCCAAGACAAAAGAAUUGGAUAAAUGGGGAAAGAGGCAAAUGCAGUGAGGGUUAUAUAGAAAUGGAGAUGAAUUGAAUAAAAGAUUUAUAGCUGCAGAUCAGGACACAAUGAAGUGGGUUGGAAAGCCUAAAAAGUAAAGUAGAGAAGGUGGAGAAAUAGAGAUAGCUGAGCCUGUGAGAAGAUGAAGAUGCUGAAGAUUUAAUAAACAAUACUAGGAGGCAUAAACUCAGGGAGAGGAAGCUGAACCAAGAACAAUAUGAGAUAUCAUUGUGUCCUAGGAAAAUCCCUGAGUAUGAGAGAAAGUGUAGAGAGAUAGAAGGGAACCAAAUGUGACAAGCAUACAUACAGAAAUUGAGGGAUGAAUGGAUAUACUGGGAGGUCAGAACUAAAUGGAUGGAGAAAUUGUGAGAGGAGAGUUGAGUGAGAAAAUGAAAGUGAGAGGAUAAGAAUGGGUGACUGAAUGGCAGAAUAAAAGAAUGAAUGGAGAGACCCAAACUCUGAUAUAUGAGGGACUGUCAAAUCUCAAUGAGAAGGAAUGCAUGAAUGGUAAGGAAUAUGUAGUGUGAGAUGGAUGAACUGAGGAGCACAAGGAAGCAAAAUCUGUAGUUAGCCAGGGUGCCUGAGCGAGAGAUAUAAGUGUACGUGUUGAGACCUUGACUGUGGGAGAUGGAUGAAUUCAGACACUUGGGUGAUGUGAAAGGAAUGAGUAAAGAGAUAUCAGAAGCUGAGAAACAUGAAGGUCAAAAAGUCAGAAACUGAAAAGAAAGGGAAGAGAGACCUAGACAGCUGGAUGAAUCCAAGUGGAGAGAGAGAGAAAUAAGAGACGGAUGGAGUGAGGCACAAAAAGUGUGAGCAUUGUAUGGAAAGAGACAGCAAGAGUGUGAGUAAUAUAUGGAACGAGACAGCAAGAGAAUGCAUAAUGUAUUGAAAGCAAUGUAUGCAUGUAAGAGAAACGUGGCUGCAAAUACCUGUACUUUGCUGUGUGUGUGUGUGUGUGUGUGUGUGUAAGAAGUUUAUCUAUGAAUUCUUGAAAAAAUAACAAGGCCUUCAAAGGAUAAGAAGUGAGUGUGUGAGAGUCAAGCAUAAUACACUGCUAAAGAGACGUUGAAGAACAUGCAAGAAAAUGGUGCAGAGUGAAAGUGAAGAUUGGCUGUCUAGAAAAUCUACCCUGAAGGAGUGAAGCAUGAGAGAAGUGAUGGACUGAAUGUGCAUGAUGUGGAGAAGCAAGGCUGCUCCCUGUGGGCUAUGCGGCUAAAUCUAGUGAGCUGGAGUGUGACCAGUGUAUGAAAGGAGAAACUACAUGUUUGUGUGGUCAAGGGAUCAUCGAGCUGUAGAGGGGCAGAGAAGAGUUUAGGUCUAGUACUAAUAGAGCAUGAAUGAAUACAGAAGAGGCUGGGCCACUGUGAACAAAAAGAGUGAGAAAAUGUGAGAUUGCUGGUACGAAAGGUCAAGAGAGUGAGACGUGAGGAUGGAAAUGCUCUGGAGCGAGAGGUGGAAAGAUAUCUGUCAAUUUAACCAAGUGAGAAAGCAGAAUGGGAAGCAAUAAGGAUUGGGCUGCAGAUCAAAGUGAGAAAGUCAAGGUCUUAGAGGACAAGAGACCAGAGUGGCUCUAGGGAACCACUGAGGUAGAGACAGGUACAUGUGGAUAGGGACUAGUGAGAUCUGGCUGCUACAAAUACUAUUUGAAUGUCAGACAUUUGUGUGAAAUAAGAUGUUGAAUGGGACUUGGAUGUGUAGAGCAAGGACAAUUUUGAGUGAUGAAUGGGACAUAUGCAGAAUGUGCGAGUUGAGUGGCUGAAGAGAAAGAGAGAGGAGAGUGGAGUGAGAAAUGCUGAGAGGGUGAAGCUAAGAAUGUGAGACAUAGAAACCACAAAGUGAGGAGUGAAAGGAGAGACCCAACCUCUGAUACUUAAGGGGACAGUCAAGUUCCAAUAAGAAAUAAGCAUGAAUGGAGCGAGGAAUGCAAUGUGAGAUGACUGAAUUGGGGAGCACGAGAGAAAGGAGUGAGAAUGAAUGAAAGAGAAACAUUUGGAUGAGAAAAGCAAAAAUGAAUGCCAACUGAGGACUACAGCGGGAAAAGUCUAUGAAAGGACACAUAUCAGUAGGGGAGCCCCAAUGGAUGCAAAGAAUGAUUGGUGCAGCGACUGCUUGGCCAAGAUCCAAUGGAAGAGUUCUUGAGAUUGAAAGAGAUGGAUGAAUGGAGAAAGGGGAAAAAAUGAAUAAUGGGGGGAACAAGAUUAAGAGCAAGUGAGGGAUAUAUGGAAAUGGAUGUUACAGGGUUAAUGAUUUGUGAAUGCAGAUCAUGAGACACAGUAAGGUAGGUUGGAAAGCCUAACAAGUAAAGGAAAGAUAGUUGAGAAAACAGAGAUAGCCAAGGCUGUAAGAAUUUCAAGAUGUUGAGGAUUUAAUAAGCAAUAGGGGAGAGAAACUUAGGCAGAGGCAGCUGAAUUAAGAGAAGUAUGAGAGAUGACUGUGUCCUAGGAAAAGUCUCUGAGGGGUGAGAUGUCUCAGAGUGAUAGAAGGGAACAAAUGGGACAUGCAAGCAUAAAGAAAGAAAGGGAUGAAUAGAUAUCAUGAGGUUUCAAAGUUGAAUCGAUGAAGGGUAGAGAGAGGAGAAUGGAGUGAGUAAAUAAGAGAGUCAGAGGAUGAGGAUGAUUGAUCGAAUGGCAGAACCAAAAGAAUGGAUGGAGAGACCCAAACUCUGAUAUGUGAAUGACUGUAUGAAUGGCAUAUUGUAUGUGAUGUGAGAUGGCUGAAUUGAGCACUGGGAGGAGAAGCAAAACUGAGGAGCCAAAUCCAAAGAGAAAGAGUUAGCCAGAGUGCUUGAGAAAGAAAGAAAAGUAUCCAUGUGGAGAACUAGACUGUGGCAAAUGGAUGAAGUAGAAUCAGUGUUGUGAGAGGAAUGGGUGAUGAAAUAUAUAUGUAUAUGUAUAUGUAUGUAUGUAAUGAGUACCACGAAUGUCUAGACUCAGAGAGAACAAAGGGAAGAGAGACCUAGAUAGUGAGAGGGAUCCAAAUGGAGACAGUGAGAAAUAAGAGACAGAAGGAAAGAGAGAUCAAGAGAGUAAGUGAUGUAAGAAAAGAGAGCUGGACACAAUUAAGAAGUGCUUGGUUUUACAUAAUUGUACUUUGUAGAAUAUGUGUAAAAGCAGAAGCCUUAGCCAUGAACGAUGAGUUCCUGAAAAAAAAAUCUAAACUUUGAAAGGAGGAAAAGCGAGAGGGUGAGAGCCAAGUAUAAUACACUGCUAAAGAGCCGUUGUGGGACAUGAAAAUGGGAAAGAGUGAAAGUAAUGAUUGGCUGUUUAGAAAAUCUACCUGAAGGAGUGAAGGAUGAGAGAACUGAUGUAUGGAAUGAGUGUGGUGUAUAGAGACAAAGAGGGAAAAGGAUGAGUGGAAGGAAACAUGCAAUGUAAGAACAUUGAAUUGGGGAGGAACAAGAAAAGGAAGAAUGAGUGGUGAGACUGCAUGAAAAGAGAAGCAUUUGGAGGACACUGCUAGAAAGGGAAAUGAAUAUGAGCAUAAGUCAAAGGUGUACAAAAGGUGAUUUCAGUAGGAGAGCCCAAUGAAUACUUCAAUUAAAGGAGGGAGAUUCUGCUGAUAUCCAGGAAUGAAAAGGCUAGGAAUUAGUGGAUAAGGACUGAAGACGGAAAGGAGAUACAUGAACAGAGAAAGAGGAAUAUUAGCAAUGGAUGUAAAAAGAGGCAAAGAGAGGGAGAGGUGUAUGGAAAGGAAGCUGUGCUCAGUGAACGUUUUAUGGCUGUAAGUAUUGAGACAGUAGGGUGGGUGGGAAGCCCAAGAAGUAAAGGAAGGAUGUAGGAGAAAAUAGAGAUAGUUGAGGCUGUAAGAAGGUCAAGAUGCUGAGAUUUAAGUAGGCAAGAGUGGGAGGGAUAACUUCAGGGAGAGAAAGCUGAAUCAAGAGCAGUAUGAGAAUUGACUGUGUCAUAGGAAAAGUCCCUGAGGGAGAGAGAAGCCCCAGACAUUAGGGAACAAGUAGGAGAUGUACACAAAGAGAAAGUGGGGAGUGGAUAUCCUGGGGUGUCACAGUUGAACGGAGAAAGAGAAGUAGGGAGAGGAGAGUGGAGAGGGAAAACGAGAGUGAAAAAGUAAGCAAGGCAGAACCCACAGAAUGAAAGGACAGACCCAAACUGAUAGAUUAGUGACAAAUGUCAAGAAAAAGGAAUGCAUUACAGGAUGAAGUCAGGGUGUGAGACAGCUGAAAUGACGAGUAAAAGGAAGAGAAGAAAGGAUGUGAAGCCAUAGCAAUGAAGAAAGUUAGCUAGGGUGCUUGAGGGAGGGGAAGAAGGAAUCAAUGUUGAGACCCAGAUAGUGAGAGAAGACUGAAUGGAGAAAGUGGGAAAUGAGAGAACAGUAACCACAUCUCUCUCCACAUCUCACCACCUUUAAAACAUUGAGAAGUUAAGUUACAGACCCCCCCAGAACUAGCUAUGAAAACAGCAGGGAGAAUGAUUCUGAACUUUGGGACAAUGACACACAUUUCCCCCACCUUACUCUAAGAGCUUAUCAGAGCCCAAGUCUAACAUAAAAGUAAAAAAUCAAGAUGUUGACUUGGCAAAUAGGCAAACCAUUAAAAGGUAUCUAUUGACAAGGAACCUCAAGACACAAACUCAGAUGACCACAAUAAUCUGAAAAUUUCAAAGAAAAAUGCAAAGUGGAACUAAACAAAAGAGAAAGAUGAAAAAAUGAAGCAAAAAUAAUUUCUUAAACUCAAAGAAGAACACUAGAGGAAACCUGUGGGAAAAAUGAGAGCAAUGCAAGAAAAAUAUGCAAAGAGAAUUGGUGGCUUAGAAAAAGAGAUACAAAAACAAUGAAAAAAUAACUACAUAUAAAGCAGAAUUGGCCAAGGGAAAAAAGAGGUACAGAGUAUCACUAAAGAAAAUAAUUCUUGAAAAGUUAGAAUUGGUCAAGUAGAAAGCUAAUGACAACUAUGAGUGAUCAAAAAACAAGAAAACAUAUCAAAAUAAUGAAAAAAUGUGAAAUAUCUUUUCAGAAAAACAAGUUACCCAGAAUUUCUUAAACUCAAAGAAGAACAGUAAAGGAAACGUGGAAAAAAUGAGAGCAAUGCAAGAAAAAUAUGCAAAGAGAAUUGAUGGCUUAGAAAAAGAGAUACAAAAAUACUGAAAAAUAACUACAUAUAAAGCAGAAUUGGCCAAGGGAAAAAAGAGGUACAGAGUAUCACUAAAGAAAAUAAUUAUUGAAAUGUUAGAAUUGGUCAAGUAGAAAGCUAAUGACAACUAUGAGUGAUCAAAAAACAAGAAAACAUAUCGAAAUAAUGAAAAAAUAGAAAAAAUGUGAAAUAUUUUUUCAGAAAAACAAGUUACCUGGAAUUUCUUAAACUCAAAGAAGAACACUAGAGGAAAUAUGUAGAAAAAUUGAGAGCAAUGUAAGAAAAAUAUGCAAAGAGAAUUGAUGGCUUAGAAAAAGAGAUACAAAAAUACUGAAAAAAUAACUACAUAUAAAGCAGAAUUGGCCAAGGGAAAAAAGAGGUACAGAGUAUCACUUAAGAAAAUAAUUCUUGAAAAAUUAGAAUUGGUCAAGUAGAAAGCUAAUGACAACUAUGAGUGAUCAAAAAACAAGAAAACAUAUCAAAAUAAUGAAAAAAUAGAAAAAAUGUGAAAUAUCUUUUCUUUUCAGCAAAACAAGUUCCCUGGAAUUUCUUAAACUUAAAGAAGAACACUAGAGGAAACAAUGGAAAAAAUGAGAGCAAUGUAAGAAAAAUAUGCAAAGAGAAUUGAUGGCUUAGAAAAAGAGAUACAAAAAAACACUGAAAAAAUAACUACAUAUAAAGCAGAAUUGGCCAAGGGAAAAAAGAGGUACAGAGUAUCACUAAAGAAAAUAAUUCUUGAAAAGUUAGAAUUGGUCAAGUAGAAAGCUAAUGACAACUAUGAGUGAUCAAGAAACAAGAAAACAUGUCAAAAUAAUGAAAAAAUAGAAAAAAUUUGAAAUAUCUUUUCAGAAAAACAAGUUACCUGGAAAAGAGAUCAAGAAAUGAUCAAUUAAGAAAUAUUAAGAAAGCCUCGACAUCAUAUUUCAAAAUAUUAUAUUAUAAAUGAAAACCGCCCAUGCUUUUUAGAACCAGAAAGUAAAAUAGAAAAUGAAAGAAUUUAUAGUCAUAUCCUGAAAGCAAAACCAAAAUGAAAACUCCCAGGAAUAAGAGACAAAUUCUAGAGCUUUUUACUUGAGGAGAGAAACUACUUAAAGCAUCCAGAAAGAAAAAAAUUUCAAUACUUUGCAGCCAUAGUCAAGAUCGCAUAAAAUUUAGCGGGUACUAAGAUAAAGGGGCAGAGGGAUUAUAUAACAAUUUCAUAAAAAAAAGAGGGGGAGGGAGGAAGAAGAAGAGGGGGAGAGAGAGAGAGACAGGAAGGGAGAGAGAGACAGAAAUAGACAGAGAUGGGGGAAGAGAGAGAGGAGCAGGCAGAGAGACAGAGAUAGAGAAACAGGAAGGGGAAGAAAAACAAGAGAUUGAGAGACUCAGACAGAAGGGGGCAAGAGAGAGAGAGGAAGGGAGAGAGAAACAGGAAGGGGGAGAGAGACAGAGGGAGACUCAGAAGGGGGGAGAGUAGCAAAAGAGAGGAGGGGAGACAGAGACAGGAGGAGGGAGAGACAGAUAGGAGUUGAGAGAGAAAGAGACAGAAAUGGGGAAGAGAGACAGACAGACAGGCACAGGAGGAGAGAGGGAGAGACAGAUAAGAAAGGAGACAGAGAUAGAGGAGGGGGAGAUCAAGACAGACAGAGACAGGAGGGGGGGAACAGAGACAGACAGGAGGGGAAAGAGAAAGAUAAAAGGGAGAGAGACAGGAGGAGGGAGAGAUUCAGGAUGUGAGAGACAGACAGAAGGGGAGAGAGAGAAUGGGGGGAGAGAAACAGAGAGAGGGGGAAGAGAGAGACAGAUCAGAGGAGGGAUAAAUAGGAAGGGAGAAAGACAGAAAGAGACAGGGAAGAGAGGGGGGGAAAGAGACAUAGGAGGGGAGACAGGGAGAGACAGGCAGGAAGGGAGAAAGAAACAGGAGGGGGAGAGAGCAAGAGAGAGUAAAAGAAAGGGCAAGAGAGCAACAGACAGGAGGCGAGAGAGAGAUAAUCAGAAAAAUAGAAAGGAGAUGAGAGAGAGAGACAGAUAGGAGGGAGAGAGAGACAGAGACAAGAGGGGAGAGAGACAGACAGAAAAACAAACAGGAAGGGAGAGACAGAGACAGGAGGGUAGAGACAGAUAGGAGUGAGGAGAGAAACAAAGGGAGAGACAGGGUGACAGAGAUAGAGGAGGGGAGAGAGACAGAGUGAAAGAGAUAGAGGGGGGAAAGAGUCAGAGAUAGGAAGGGGGAGAGAGACUGAGACAGAAAGACAGACAGACAGGAGGGGGGAAGAGCGAGAGAGAGUGAAAGAGAAGGUGAGAGAGCUAGAGAAAGGAAGAGGGGAGAGAGACGUAGAUAGGAAGGGGAGAGAGAGACAAAGACAGGAGGGGGAGAGAGAUAAUCAGAAAAAUAGAAAGGAGGGGAGAGAGGGAAAGACAGAGAGUGACAGAGAUAGAGGAGGGGAGAGAGAGAGACAGAUAGGGAGAAAGAGACAGUGACAGGAGCAGGGAGAGAGAGUCAAAGACAGGAGGGGGACAGAGAAAGAUAAACAGGAGGGGAGAGACAGAUGGGAGUGAGGAGAGAGAGAGACAAAAGGAAAGACAGUGACAGAGAGACAGAAAGACAGGAGGGGGGAGAGAGAGAGUGAAAGAGAGAUAGAAAAAGGAGGAGGGGAGAGAGACAGAAAGACAGGAGGGGGAGAGAGGCACACAGACAGACAGAAAGGGAGAGACAGAAACAGAGUAAAAGAGAUAGAGGGAGGAGAGGAAGAGGGGGGAAGGAAGAGGAUGGAGGAAAAAACAAAUCAACAGAGUGACCCCUUGAGUGAGAGAUGGAUGGGUAUAUUGAAAUAGCAAGGGAACAUUACAUAAUUAGAAAAAAUUAACCAGGAAAUGGUAGGUGAAUGGUCAAAGACAAAGAUACAGGGAGAGAAAAAUUGAUUGAGAAAGAUAGAUACAGCAGGGUGACAAUGAUUGAUGCACAGGCACUGAAAGUGUGAAUGGAGAAAUUCAGGCUGUAGGUAAGGUGACAGAGAGAUCUAACUAGCAGAAAGUGAAUGAACAGUAUGAAAUGUAAGAUGGCCGAAUUGGGAAUUAGCAGGAAAGAGAUAAAUGAACAAAAUGAAUCUUGUUAUAGAGAAUGAGACAAACGGAUCUCUUAGACUAGACACUUGGAGAUAAAGAAAUAAAAAGUUAGAAAGAAUUCAGCAUUGCAAAACCCAUGGCUGAAUAGCCCAAGAGAAGCAUGGAAUAGUGAAUGCUAAUAUUAAAAACCCAAGAAAAAUGGAAGAGUGUGUAAGAUAUCAAAAAAUGAAUUCGUGGAGAAAUCAGAAUCACAAAGAAAAAAUGGUAAGAGAGAUAAAAAUACAUGGAAAAAGUUAUACUAAGUGAGAGAUUCUUGGCUGAAGAUGCAUGUAUGAGUGAAUAGUUAAUAGUCAAAAUUGAAAUUAGAAAGAAGGAAGGAAUGACGAGAGUUCUACAAUGCAAGAUGAAGUGAGAACAGUUGGCAAGACUGAAAUGAAAUGGUUAGACGGAGCCAUGUUCGAAAGGAUAUUUAGAUUAGCUGAAGAAAGGAGACGUGAAUGGAUGGCAAGGCCUAGAAGGUAACAGAUGAAUGAAUAUUGAGGCAAAAGUAGCAAGGAUAUUGUGAUUACAAAGAGCUGGAAAAUGAAAAGCAAACGACUAUAUUGAGAAUUAGAUAUGGAAUAUUUGCUGAGAUCCUGACACUGAGAUUCAGGUGAAAGUACAAAUCUAGAAAGUAAGGUUUAGAUACUUAGAAAAACAACCCAAGUGGGAAAUGGAAGUGUAAAGUCAAGUCCCAAGUCAGAAUUACCUGCUUAGAAAAACACUCUGGAAUUGGCUGGGGAGAUAUGGAUUAAUGGAAAGGCUUAGACAGGGACGAAUGCAUUACUUGCAGGGACAGGUGGGAGUUAGGUGUGUAUACCAGCAGGGAGGUACUCAGAGAGACAGACAGACAGGAGGGAAGAGACAGAGACAGGAGUGGGGAGAGAGACAAACAAACAGAAAGGGAGAGACAGAGUGAAAGAGGGGGAAGUUAGGUGUGUAUACCAGUAAUACAGAUGUGAGGAAUAGGGUAAAAUGAGGGUGGGAAUAAUAGAGAAUUCUAGGAGGGAAAGAAAGAUAAAAGAACAGAAGGAGGGUUAGGCGUGAUCAAGAGAGACCCAAAUGGAGCUACACAACGGACGGAUCACAGCGAUGGAUUCCAUGGAGAAAAUGCAACGGAUCAAGAAACAGCUGGAGUGGAUCUGUGAUGAAGGAAUACAGAUCAGCAAACAGCAAUCCUGAGAGGUGAACAUUUACAGCUUUGGAGGCUACCUCACGAAUCCAGGAGAUCCAGAGACUUCGAAUAAGAGUUGUCCGACAAGAAGGAACUGUUUUCUUGCAACUGGACCCAUUUUUGGAGAAAUGAACAUACAUCGGGACUGGAAUGGACCAUGUGACCUUGGAAAGUUCAGAAGAGCUACUGGAGGUUCGGGAGCUUGAGUCCGAGACAAACUUGGUAAUCGCCGAGCCUAGUCUGCCAGCACGGCCCCAAGGGACAGCCAAGACGCCAGGUCCUACAAGCAAGAAAGCAACUCUGUCCAUUGCGCCACGUUCAGAAUUUAACAUGGCACGCAAAUGCAUUGGAGCAGAAACUUUAAGUUUCAUCUCACUUUCCUCAGGAACUAAGGUGGUUUGGGGGAAUAUAUGCCCUGGACUGUGUCUUCUCAGUGAAUAGAUCUUUGUAACAGGAAAUUGAUGUCUAUUGGUUAAAAGGAGGCAAUAAUAAACCCACAAGCACUGGCAACUGAUACUGAAUAAAAAACAUUGUUAAAGGCUCAGGCCAAAAGCAUUAGAACAAAACAUUUUCAAUCUUUCAGAGACAGUCCUAGAACCCUGAGGUGAGAUGGAGGAGCUGACCCUGGAAAGUCAAAGCUGCAGAGCACAGCCUGCAUACUCAGUUUCUCUCCUUACUGUUUCUUAGGAUCUUUGGGGAUGAAAGAGAGGGGAAGACUGGGAGGAAAAGCAGGAGGAGCAGUCUAAAUAUGAUUAAGGACCAAGUAUCACAUCUAGGAGCUCUGAAAUUUGUUGCCUUGUGUUUGUGCUGUUGUUUUUUUUGUUUUGUUUUGUUUUGUUUUUUAACAUGACCACUUUAUAUUGAUUGCAUCUUAUAAAUGAAAGAUUUAUCCAGAAUAAGGUAAUUCCAGAAUUGGGGCAGAAUGUGGCUGUAGAUUUUAUUUUUCUUAUUACUGAGAUAUAUGUAUUGCACCUUUAACUUAAAUUAAGGAGCAGGCCAGGACCACAUGCCUCCAUGGGAAGGGAACUAGUCUGAGUUUGUUCAGGCUGAGUUCCCUCUUGUAGCCAAUGGAGAUGCUAAAACAUUUGAGAAAGGCUAUUUGGGGGAGGUACCAGUGCAAGUCUAAUGGUGCCUCUAGGGUAAUGGCUGCAAUAGUGUCGCAUAGUCAACAAUUCAUAUGCUUCCCUCUCUCUUUAGAUGAUUACUAUCAUAUCUACCUACUAGGGCUUCAGGAUGGUGGCACAGGAACUGUGUGGACCAAGUCCAAUUCCAAGUAUUUCAUGCAGCCUUUACCAUUGUCACAGAGAGAUGAUGAUGAUCACAAGACAACUUUCCAAAAUUUAGGGGAGUCGGUGAAAGCAGUCCUCAAAAUCAUAUUUUCUCUCUGAAAACAUUAAUAUGAUGAAGAAAGAAUAUUAUUGACUGAGUAAUCUAAUCCUGGAAUACUAGGAUGAUUAGGAGAAACUUACCAAAUUUAGGGGAGUCGGUGAAAGCAGUCCUCAAAAUCAUAUUUUCUCUCUGAAAACAUUAAUAUGAUGAAGAAAGAAUAUUUUUGACUGAGUAGUCUAAUCCUGCAACGCUAGGGUGACCAGGAAAAACUUACCAAAAUUUAGGGGAGUCAGUGAAUGCAGUCCCCCAAAUCAUAUUUUCUCUCUGAAAACAUUAACAUGACGGAGAAAGAAUAUUUUUGACUGAGUAAUCUAAUCCUGGAACGCUAGAAUAACCAGGAGAAACUUACCAAAAUUUAGGGUAGUUGGUGAAAGCAGUCCCCAAAAUCAUAUUUUCUCUCUGAAAACAUUAACACAAUGGAGAAAGAAUAUUUUUGACUGAGUAAUCUAAUCCUGGAAUACUAGGAUGAUUAGGAGAAACUUACCAAAUUUAGGGGAGUCGGUGAAAGCAGUCCCCCAAAUCAUAUUUUCGCUCUGAAAAUAUUAACACAAUGGAGAAAUAAUUUUAUUAAUUGAGUAAUCUAAUCCUGGAACUCUAGGAUUUACUUACAAAAUGUAAAAGAAAAUUCUUCACAUGCUGAAAGAAUCAAAUUGAGAGUGUCAGUCAAGCAGCUUUACAAUUGGAAGCACAGAAACUAAGACUAUUGCCCAUUUCAUCAGUGUGCCCCAGGGGCUGAGGAAGGUGGGAGAGGAUAAGGAUGGGACAAAACAGCUCCCACUUGUGGGGUGGAACCUCAUCACAAGUAUAUAUUUAUGUUGGAUCCUUUUCCUGAACCCAGGAAGUAUCUUCACUGUAUAUGUACAUCCAGGAUGACAGUGAAUCCCACCCCAUCCUUCCCCUACCAGCAGCAAAAAGGGAGCAAGCCACAGUUCUCAGACUCUCCCUCCACUGCUAUAAAGGAGAGAGCGUCAACCCACAACUGUCAGCUCCCUUCCCUCUUCUCUUUCUCAUCAACUGCAAAGAAAGAACACCCAGUCACCAGAGUUGACACUAGGAAAUUUUGGGGGGACAAUAAUUCCAGGUGUCUUGCUGUGGGUUUGGAGUGGAGAUAUAGCCUCUUCCACUCUCAAAUUAGACACAAAGGAAAUAAAUCCUUCAUUAAAUCCCAUUGUUGCUGUUAAUUGGAACUAAGAAAUAAUGAGAGGUAGUUAUCUAUGCCCUAUGACACGAGACGUGCCUCUGGAUUCCUCCAGGAAGUGGAAAGUAUUGGGAUGGUUAGCGAGGAUUGUCUGAAGGGUAAGGGGAUAGUGGGGGGUGGUCAGCAAGUAGGCUUUGGGUGCCUUCUCACAGUCCUGCAAAUGGGGAAGGGAGGGACAACUUUGCUCCUAAUCCACGUGUAUAUGCUCCCCAUUCCCUCCUCCCUCCCAGCAUUGUACCCUCUGUUGCCAGGCUCCGUGCCCUUCCCUCUACUUAGUUCCCAUCAGCCAGCAAAAAGGAGAGAGUGACUAUACCUCUUUUUUCCUCCAAGCAGAACAAGUAAUCUUUGUAUGAAGUUAUAAUUUAGCUUAAUUUACUUAAAAACUUUCCCAUUUUAUAAAAAGAGAACAGUUUGGAACAAAAAAAGCAACUCUGCAAGAAAAAGAUUAGUGCUAAAUGGAAUCCAGCUCCCGCAGCCCGAUGCUCAGGAUCAGUAAAGGGCAUUACCAAGAUGAUUCCUUGCAUGUAUAGCUUGGACCACAUGGAAGUUGAGGUCCCUGUCAACUCUCACCAUCUAUAACCCUGUGGGUCUCAACUUUAAUACUCCUCUCAGAGAGUUCUACCAGUAGACAUACCCCCACCCAAUGUAGACACCUAAAGAAUGGGAACUAAAGAGGGCCCAAGUUUGACCCCAAGCGGAGAGCUAACUAAAAUGGCAGAAAAGGUCAGACUUGCAUAGUAUUAGAGAGACAGAAAUGGCAUGAAAUGAAACAAAAUUAAAUACAAGCACUUGAAGCAAGGGAGUUUAAACACAAGGUAUCGCUCAGGAAGGGAGAGUGGCUAUCUGACAUAAAGAAAACAGGAAAUGGGGAGCAGGGUGCUCUGGGAGCUCAACCCCUGCUUCUGUUCCUUUUCCAGAGAUAUCCUGCAUUGAAAUACAACUUCAAGCUCAUUCCCCAUGAUGAAUGCUCUACUCCUAGUGGGACUAAGAAAAUAAAUGACUGUGUCUGGGAGGGAGGAGCUUGUGUCUUCUUGGGAAUGCCCAAAGCACCCCAACAGCCUGUGGUCGAUUUCCACUCUUCUGAUUAAAACUUUUAUCAAGUAUGUCUUUGUGUACUGUCUUAAAUGAAAAACAGUGGGUAAUGGGCAUUAGGG
RNAcentral lists this long non-coding RNA (27991 nucleotides) under Sarcophilus harrisii (Tasmanian devil). RNAcentral's name for it is "lncRNA (ENSSHAG00000024599.1)". The record is from RNAcentral. Lineage: Eukaryota; Metazoa; Chordata; Mammalia; Dasyuromorphia; Dasyuridae.